UAGCUCUGAACAAGCCCUUUACCAUGC
RNAcentral lists this non-coding RNA (27 nucleotides) under Homo sapiens (human). Lineage: Eukaryota; Metazoa; Chordata; Mammalia; Primates; Hominidae. The record is from RNAcentral.